AUUCCAGACUCCUACGGGAGGCAGCAGUGGGGAAUAUUGCACAAUGGGGGGAACCCUGAUGCAGCGACGCCGCGUGGGUGAAGGAGUACCUCGGUACGUAAAGCCCUAUCAGCAGGAAAGAAAAUGACGGUACCUGACUAAGAAGCCCCGGCUAACUACGUGCCAGCAGCCGCGGUAAUACGUAGGGGGCAAGCGUUAUCCGGAUUUACUGGGUGUAAAGGGAGCGUAGACGGCAGUGCAAGUCCGGAGUGAAAGCCCGGGGCGCAACCCUGGGACUGCUCUGGAAACUGUAAAGCUGGAGUGCGGGAGGGGCAGGCGGAAUUCCUGGUGUAGCGGUGAAAUGCGUAGAUAUCAGGAGGAACACCGGUGGCGAAGGCGGCCUGCUGGACUGCGACUGACGUUGAGGCCCGAAAGCGUGGGGAGCAAACAGGAUUAGAGACCCUGGUAUCG
Molecule: ribosomal RNA, 450 nt
Filed under: uncultured bacterium
Lineage: Bacteria
Description: bacterial SSU rRNA
Rfam family: Bacterial small subunit ribosomal RNA
Source: RNAcentral